CCUACGGGAGGCAGCAGUGGGGAAUAGUGCGCAAUGGGCGAAAGCCUGACGCAGCGACGCCGCGUGAGGGAUGAAGGUCUUCGGAUCGUAAACCUCUGUCAGCAGGGAAGAACGGUCACUGUGCUAAUCAGCAGUGAAUUGACGGUACCGGCAAAGGAAGCACCGGCUCACUCCGUGCCAGCAGCCGCGGUAAUACGGAGGGUGCGAGCGUUAAUCGGAAUUACUGGGCGGAAAGCGCUCGUAGGCGGUAUGUCAAGUCAAGGGUGAACUCCCCGCGCUCAACGUGGGAACUGCCUUUGAAACUGGCAAACUGUAGUGUGUGAGAGGAUAGUGUAAUUCCAGGUGUAGCAG
Molecule: ribosomal RNA, 351 nt
Filed under: uncultured bacterium
Lineage: Bacteria
Description: partial 16S ribosomal RNA
Rfam family: Bacterial small subunit ribosomal RNA
Source: RNAcentral